GGUGAUUUUGGAAUGAGAAUGACGAACUAGUUCAAAAUGUUGCUGCUCUCAACUUUCUAAAAGCAGUUAUUUUGGGAAAUCAUGAUUCUUGGAGCACUCAACAGUUUUCUUCUAAGAAGAAGGAUCGAGUUCAACUUCAACUAGAAUGGUGAGCUUUCCUGAUAUAUAAAAAAGGAAUUUUAAGAAUGCAUGCUUCUUUAAUUUUCUAUAUUCCAUCUCUUUUUCCAUGUUAGAUGCUAACUGUGAAAAUUUGAGGCUUGAAUUAGUCGGGAGCAUGUAGGUUAUAAACGUCUGGACUUUCCUUUACUAAAGCUCAGUGUUGUUGGUGGACGGCCCUUUU
Molecule: long non-coding RNA, 340 nt
Organism: Hibiscus syriacus
Lineage: Eukaryota; Viridiplantae; Streptophyta; Magnoliopsida; Malvales; Malvaceae
Exons: 3
Source: RefSeq, a predicted model, not a curated record